GGCUUAACACACGCAAGUCGAGGGGCAUCAUGCUUAUAGCAAUAUAAGUGAUGGCGACCGGCGCACGGGUGAGUAACACGUAUCCAACCUGCCGUCUACUCUUGGACAGCCUUCUGAAAGGAAGAUUAAUACAAGAUGGCAUCAUGAGUCCGCAUGUUCACAUGAUUAAAGGUAUUCCGGUAGACGAUGGGGAUGCGUUCCAUUAGAUAGUAGGCGGGGUAACGGCCCACCUAGUCUUCGAUGGAUAGGGGUUCUGAGAGGAAGGUCCCCCACAUUGGAACUGAGACACGGUCCAAACUCCUACGGGAGGCAGCAGUGAGGAAUAUUGGUCAAUGGGCGAGAGCUUGAACCAGCCAAGUAGCGUGAAGGAUGACUGCCCUAUGGGUUGUAAACUUCUUUUAUAAAGGAAUAAAGUCGGGUAUGGAUACCCGUUUGCAUGUACUUUAUGAAUAAGGAUCGGCUAACUCCGUGCCAGCAGCCGCGGUAAUACGGAGGAUCCGAGCGUUAUCCGGAUUUAUUGGGUUUAAAGGGAGCGUAGAUGGAUGUUUAAGUCAGUUGUGAAAGUUUGCGGCUCAACCGUAAAAUUGCAGUUGAUACUGGAUAUCUUGAGUGCAGUUGAGGCAGGCGGAAUUCGUGGUGUAGCGGUGAAAUGCUUAGAUAUCACGAAGAACUCCGAUUGCGAAGGCAGCCUGCUAAGCUGCAACUGACAUUGAGGCUCGAAAGUGUGGGUAUCAAACAGGAUUAGAUACCCUGGUAGUCCACACGGUAAACGAUGAAUACUCGCUGUUUGCGAUAUACUGCAAGCGGCCAAGCGAAAGCGUUAAGUAUUCCACCUGGGGAGUACGCCGGCAACGGUGAAACUCAAAGGAAUUGACGGGGGCCCGCACAAGCGGAGGAACAUGUGGUUUAAUUCGAUGAUACGCGAGGAACCUUACCCGGGCUUAAAUUGCAGAUGAAUUACGGUGAAAGCCGUAAGCCGCAAGGCAUCUGUGAAGGUGCUGCAUGGUUGUCGUCAGCUCGUGCCGUGAGGUGUCGGCUUAAGUGCCAUAACGAGCGCAACCCUUGUUGUCAGUUACUAACAGGUUCCGCUGAGGACUCUGACAAGACUGCCAUCGUAAGAUGUGAGGAAGGUGGGGAUGACGUCAAAUCAGCACGGCCCUUACGUCCGGGGCUACACACGUGUUACAAUGGGGGGUACAGAGGGCCGCUACCACGCGAGUGGAUGCCAAUCCCCAAAACCUCUCUCAGUUCGGACUGGAGUCUGCAACCCGACUCCACGAAGCUGGAUUCGCUAGUAAUCGCGCAUCAGCCACGGCGCGGUGAAUACGUUCCCGGGCCUUGUACACACCGCCCGUCAAGCCAUGGGAGCCGGGGGUACCUGAAGUGCGUAACCGCGAGGAGCGCCCUAGGGUAAAACUGGUGACUGGGGCUAAGUCAAA
Molecule: ribosomal RNA, 1439 nt
Filed under: uncultured bacterium
Lineage: Bacteria
Description: bacterial SSU rRNA
Rfam family: Bacterial small subunit ribosomal RNA
Source: RNAcentral